AUUGAACGCUGGCGGCAGGCUUAACACAUGCAAGUCGAGCGGGGUGAUGGUGCUUGCACUAUCACUUAGCGGCGGACGGGUGAGUAAUGCUUAGGAAUCUGCCUAUUAGUGGGGGACAACAUCUCGAAAGGGAUGCUAAUACCGCAUACGUCCUACGGGAGAAAGCAGGGGAUCUUUAUGACCUUGCGCUAAUAGAUGAGCCUAAGUCGGAUUAGCUAGUUGUUGGGGUAAAGGCCUACCAAGGCGACGAUCUGUAGCGGGUCUGAAAGGGUGAUCCGCCACACUGGGACUGAGACACGGCCCAGACUCCUACGGGAGGCAGCAGUGGGGAAUAUUGGACAAUGGGGGGAACCCUGAUCCAGCCAUGCCGCGUGUGUGAAGAAGGCCUUAUGGUUGUAAAGCACUUUAAGCGAGGAGGAGGCUCUUUUGGUUAAUACCCAGAAUGAGUGGACGUUACUCGCAGAAUAAGCACCGGCUAACUCUGUGCCAGCCGCCGCCGUAA
RNAcentral lists this ribosomal RNA (502 nucleotides) under uncultured bacterium. Its description in RNAcentral is "partial 16S ribosomal RNA". It matches the Rfam family "Bacterial small subunit ribosomal RNA", at positions 30 to 523 of the family's 1533-position model. The record is from RNAcentral.